Molecule: ribosomal RNA, 697 nt
Filed under: uncultured bacterium
Lineage: Bacteria
Description: bacterial SSU rRNA
Rfam family: Bacterial small subunit ribosomal RNA
Source: RNAcentral
ACUGGGGGAUAACACUUAGAAAUAGGUGCUAACACCGCAUAAGCGCACAGCUUCGCAUGAAGCAGUGUGAAAAACUGAGGUGGUAUACGAUGGUUCCGCGUCUGAUUAGCUAGUUGGUGGGGUAAAAGCCUACCAAGGCAACGAUCAGUAGCCGGCCUGAGAGGGUGAACGGCCACAUUGGGACUGAGACACGGCCCAAACUCCUACGGGAGGCAGCAGUGGGGAAUAUUGCACAAUGGGGGAAACCCUGAUGCAGCGACGCCGCGUGAGUGAAGAAGUAUUUCGGUAUGUAAAGCUCUAUCAGCAGGGAAGAAAUACUGACCAUAGGGUCAGCAGACGGUACUUGACUAAGAAGCCCCGGCUAACUACGUGCCAGCAGCCGCGGUAAUACGUAGGGGGCAAGCGUUAUCCGGAUUUACUGGGUGUAAUGGGAGCGUAGACGGCAGCGCAAGUCUGAAGUGAAAUGCCAGGGCUUAACCCUGGAACUGCUUUGGAAACUGUGCAGCUAGAGUGCAGGAGAGGUAAGUGGAAUUUCUAGUGUAGCGGUGAAAUGCGUAGAUAUUAGGAGGAACACCAGUGGCGAAGGCGGCUUACUGGACUGUAACUGACGUUGAGGCUCGAAAGCGUGGGGAGCAAACAGGAUUAGAUACCCUGGUAGUCCACGCUGUAAACGAUGAUUACUAGGUGUUGGGGGACC